AUUGAACGCUGGCGGCAUGCCUUACACAUGCAAGUCGAACGGUAACAGGUCUUCGGAUGCUGACGAGUGGCGAACGGGUGAGUAAUACAUCGGAACGUGCCCAGACGUGGGGGAUAACGAGGCGAAAGCUUUGCUAAUACCGCAUACGAUCUAAGGAUGAAAGCAGGGGACCGCAAGGCCUUGCGCGGUUGGAGCGGCCGAUGGCAGAUUAGGUAGUUGGUGGGAUAAAAGCUUACCAAGCCGACGAUCUGUAGCUGGUCUGAGAGGACGACCAGCCACACUGGGACUGAGACACGGCCCAGACUCCUACGGGAGGCAGCAGUGGGGAAUUUUGGACAAUGGGCGAAAGCCUGAUCCAGCAAUGCCGCGUGCAGGAUGAAGGCCUUCGGGUUGUAAACUGCUUUUGUACGGAACGAAAAGGCUCUGGCUAAUACCUGGGGCGCAUGACGGUACCGUAAGAAUAAGCACCGGCUAACUACGUG
This 482-nucleotide ribosomal RNA is filed under the name uncultured bacterium. RNAcentral's name for it is "partial 16S ribosomal RNA". It matches the Rfam family "Bacterial small subunit ribosomal RNA", at positions 30 to 507 of the family's 1533-position model. The record is from RNAcentral.